Molecule: ribosomal RNA, 1035 nt
Filed under: Enterococcus faecalis
Lineage: Bacteria; Bacillati; Bacillota; Bacilli; Lactobacillales; Enterococcaceae
Description: bacterial SSU rRNA
Rfam family: Bacterial small subunit ribosomal RNA
Source: RNAcentral
CAUACUGCAGUCGAACGCUUCUUUCCUCCCGAGUGCUUGCACUCAAUUGGAAAGAGGAGUGGCGGACGGGUGAGUAACACGUGGGUAACCUACCCAUCAGAGGGGGAUAACACUUGGAAACAGGUGCUAAUACCGCAUAACAGUUUAUGCCGCAUGGCAUAAGAGUGAAAGGCGCUUUCGGGUGUCGCUGAUGGAUGGACCCGCGGUGCAUUAGCUAGUUGGUGAGGUAACGGCUCACCAAGGCCACGAUGCAUAGCCGACCUGAGAGGGUGAUCGGCCACACUGGGACUGAGACACGGCCCAGACUCCUACGGGAGGCAGCAGUAGGGAAUCUUCGGCAAUGGACGAAAGUCUGACCGAGCAACGCCGCGUGAGUGAAGAAGGUUUUCGGAUCGUAAAACUCUGUUGUUAGAGAAGAACAAGGACGUUAGUAACUGAACGUCCCCUGACGGUAUCUAACCAGAAAGCCACGGCUAACUACGUGCCAGCAGCCGCGGUAAUACGUAGGUGGCAAGCGUUGUCCGGAUUUAUUGGGCGUAAAGCGAGCGCAGGCGGUUUCUUAAGUCUGAUGUGAAAGCCCCCGGCUCAACCGGGGAGGGUCAUUGGAAACUGGGAGACUUGAGUGCAGAAGAGGAGAGUGGAAUUCCAUGUGUAGCGGUGAAAUGCGUAGAUAUAUGGAGGAACACCAGUGGCGAAGGCGGCUCUCUGGUCUGUAACUGACGCUGAGGCUCGAAAGCGUGGGACAAACAGGAUUAGAUACCCUGGUAGUCCACGCCGUAAACGAUGAGUGCUAAGUGUUGGAGGGUUUCCGCCCUUCAGUGCUGCAGCAAACGCAUUAAGCACUCCGCCUGGGGAGUACGACCGCAAGGUUGAAACUCAAAGGAAUUGACGGGGGCCCGCACAAGCGGUGGAGCAUGUGUUAAUUCGAAGCAACGCGAACUUACCCUGACAUCCUUUGACCUCUAGAGAUGAGCUUUCCCUGGAGUGAGGGCAUCGUCAGCUCUCAUUCCCCAACGCACCUUAUAUGCAUCAUUA